CAGUCGCCGCGGUAAUACGUAGGUGGCAAGCGUUGUCCGGAAUUAUUGGGCGUAAAGGGCUCGCGGGCGGUUUCUUAAGUCUGAUGUGAGAGCCCCCGGCUCAACCGGGGAGGGUCAUUGGAAACUGGGAAACUUGAGUACAGAAGAGGAGAGUGGAAUUCCACGUGUAGCGGUGAAAUGCGUAGAGAUGUGGAGGAACACCAGUGGCGAAGGCGACUCUCUGGUCUGUAACUGACGCUGAGGAGCGAAAGCGUGGGGAGCGAACAGGAUUAGAUACCCGAGUAGUCCCUGUCUCUUAUAC
This 301-nucleotide ribosomal RNA is filed under the name uncultured bacterium. RNAcentral's name for it is "partial 16S ribosomal RNA". It matches the Rfam family "Bacterial small subunit ribosomal RNA", at positions 509 to 807 of the family's 1533-position model. The record is from RNAcentral.